RNAcentral lists this ribosomal RNA (450 nucleotides) under uncultured Glomus. Its description in RNAcentral is "SSU rRNA". It matches the Rfam family "Eukaryotic small subunit ribosomal RNA", at positions 569 to 1023 of the family's 1831-position model. Lineage: Eukaryota; Fungi; Glomeromycota; Glomeromycetes; Glomerales; Glomeraceae. The record is from RNAcentral.
AGCAGCCGCGGUAAUUCCAGCUCCAAUAGCGUAUAUUAAAGUUGUUGCAGUUAAAAAGCUCGUAGUUGAAUUUCGGGAUCAAUAUGUCGGUCGUGCUCUUUGGUACGUACUGGCGUCAUUGUUCCCUCCUUUCUGACGAACCAUGAUGUCAUUCAUUUGGUGUUAUGGGGAGUUAGGACUGUUACUUUGAAAAAUUAGAGUGUUUAAAGCAGGCAUUAGCUUGAAUACAUUAGCAUGGAAUAAUGAAAUAGGACGUUCGAUCCUAUUUUGUUGGUUUCUAGGAUCAACGUAAUGAUUAAUAGGGAUAGUUGGGGGCAUUAGUAUUCAAUUGUCAGAGGUGAAAUUCUUGGAUUUAUUGAAGACUAACUACUGCGAAAGCAUUUGCCAAGGAUGUUUUCAUUAAUCAAGAACGAAAGUUAGGGGAUCGAAGACGAUCAGAUACCGUCGUAG